Nannospalax galili (Upper Galilee mountains blind mole rat) is the source of this 338-nucleotide long non-coding RNA. RefSeq lists it as uncharacterized. The record is from RefSeq and is a predicted model, not a curated record. The transcript is spliced from 3 exons. NCBI's taxonomy places the organism in Eukaryota, Metazoa, Chordata, Mammalia, Rodentia, Spalacidae.
AUCACAGACCCAGGCUGCUUAGCAAAUCCUGCUUGUAUACGGCCUUCUCUGUGCUCAAGUCUGUUUAGCCCUGAAUUUAGAAUGCACCAGGAUGGCUCAAAAGUUGCAAUAAACAAGCAGGUUCCAAGUAACAAGGGGUUUUGAUGGUCGGAAGCCUACACACCCAACAGGGAAUUCCUGUUUCUUCCUGUUUCUUCUACUGAAUGCAGUUUAUACAGAGUUAUUUGAGCUUCUUGCAUCAUGUACAACAGCCAUGAUAUACUGCUUUGCCACAGCUCAAAGACAACUGGACCAAGUGACUAUGGGUUAAACCUCUGAAAUUGUGAAGUAAAAUAAAU